This 400-nucleotide ribosomal RNA is filed under the name uncultured bacterium. RNAcentral's name for it is "bacterial SSU rRNA". It matches the Rfam family "Bacterial small subunit ribosomal RNA", at positions 356 to 773 of the family's 1533-position model. The record is from RNAcentral.
GGGGGAUAUUGGACAAUGGGCGAAAGCCUGAUCCAGCCAUGCCGCGUGAGUGAUGAAGGCCCUAGGGUUGUAAAGCUCUUUCGACGGGGACGAUAAUGACGGUACCCGUAUAAGAAGCCCCGGCUAACUUCGUGCCAGCAGCCGCGGUAAUACGAAGGGGGCUAGCGUUGCUCGGAAUCACUGGGCGUAAAGCACGCGUAGGCGGAUCGUUAAGUCAGGGGUGAAAUCCUAAGGCUCAACCUCAGAAUUGCCCUUGAUACUGGCGGUCUUGAGACCGGAAGAGGUAAGUGGAAUUGCGAGUGUAGAGGUGAAAUUCGUAGAUAUUCGCAAGAACACCAGUGGCGAAGGCGACUUACUGGUCCGGUUCUGACGCUGAGGCGUGAAAGCGUGGGGAGCAAAC